UUGACAUAAAUAAAUUUCUUUCCGUACUCAUAACCAUAUUAAAAUAACCUCUUAUAUCCAGCUAUCAAGUUGCAUCCACGUGAAUACAAAGAUUCAUAUAUUACAUCAGUUUCAUCCACGUGGAUACAAAGUUUCAUAUAUUCAUAUACUACAAUAGUUUCAAUACAACCCAUGUUACAAGAAAUCAUCUUCAAGCAUUCCAUCAAUAUUUGCCAAGCUUCCCGUGAAGUGAAGGUAAUCUACAAAAUGACAAAUAAGAAACUUAGAAGAAUAAUAGUAGAUGAAGUAGUGUAUAUAUAGGUUAUUUCGGAGAGAAAUUAGCUAAGUAUAGACCAUUUAGGAGCUAACUAAGCUAAUUAUGUCAUUUAGGUGGAACCCUAGCUAACUAUAGGUCGUUUCAGAGCUAACUUGUAUAAAAUAGGUCAUUCCGAAGCAACCUAUGCAUAUUAAGCCAUUUUUGAUCUAGCUAGGCUAAUUAUAGGCCAUUUAAUACCUAAUUUAGGGGGAAUAGGUCAUGUUGCAGCUACGUAAGCCUUAUUAUGUCAUUUCGAGGAUAAUUAGCUAAGUAUAGGUCAUCUUUUAUU
Molecule: long non-coding RNA, 584 nt
Filed under: Hordeum vulgare
Lineage: Eukaryota; Viridiplantae; Streptophyta; Magnoliopsida; Poales; Poaceae
Description: long non-coding RNA (HVUL_LNC003610)
Source: RNAcentral